GACGAACGCUGGCGGCGUGCCUAAUACAUGCAAGUAGAACGCUGAAGGAGGAGCUUGCUUCUCUGGAUGAGUUGCGAACGGGUGAGUAACGCGUAGGUAACCUGCCUGGUAGCGGGGGAUAACUAUUGGAAACGAUAGCUAAUACCGCAUAAGAGUAGAUGUUGCAUGACAUUUGCUUAAAAGGUGCAAUUGCAUCACUACCAGAUGGACCUGCGUUGUAUUAGGUAGUUGGUGAGGUAACGGCUCACCAAGGGAACGAUACAUAGCCGACCUGAGAGGGGGAUCGGCCACACUGGGACUGAGAAACGGCCCAGACUUCUACGGGAGGCAGCAGUAGGGAAUCUUCGGCAAUGGACCGAAGUCUGACCGAGCAACGCCGCGUGAGUGAAGAAGGUUUUCGGAUCGGAAAGCUCUGUUGCAAGAGAAGAACGAGUGGGAGAGGGGAAAGUUCACACUGUGACGGUAUCUUACCAGAAAGGGACGGCUAACUACGUG
This 495-nucleotide ribosomal RNA is filed under the name uncultured bacterium. RNAcentral describes it as "partial 16S ribosomal RNA". It matches the Rfam family "Bacterial small subunit ribosomal RNA", at positions 28 to 507 of the family's 1533-position model. The record is from RNAcentral.